RNAcentral lists this ribosomal RNA (322 nucleotides) under uncultured eukaryote. Its description in RNAcentral is "partial 18S ribosomal RNA". It matches the Rfam family "Eukaryotic small subunit ribosomal RNA", at positions 1470 to 1796 of the family's 1831-position model. The record is from RNAcentral.
CCCUUAGAUGUUCUGGGCCGCACGCGUGCUACACUGAGUAAUUCAAUGGGUAAGGGAACGCUAGAGCAUUACCUAAUCUUGAAAUUUGCUCGUGAUGGGGAUCGACGGUUGCAAUUUUCCGUCGUGAACGAGGAAUACCUUGUAGGCGCAUGUCAUCAUCAUGCGCCGAAUACGUCCCUGCCCUUUGUACACACCGCCCGUCGCUCCUACCGAUUGAGUGAUCCGGUGAGGCUCUGGGACUUGGACGGAAAGAGCGUUUCGCUUGUUCUGUUUGGGAAACUUGGUCGAACCUUAUCAUUUAGAGGAAGGAGAAGUCGUAACA